This 86-nucleotide transfer RNA is filed under the name Brachypodium distachyon (stiff brome). It matches the Rfam family "tRNA". From Rfam's summary of the family: Transfer RNA (tRNA) molecules are approximately 80 nucleotides in length. Their secondary structure includes four short double-helical elements and three loops (D, anti-codon, and T loops). The record is from Rfam by way of RNAcentral. Lineage: Eukaryota; Viridiplantae; Streptophyta; Magnoliopsida; Poales; Poaceae.
CCGACCUUAGCUCAGUUGGUAGAGCGGAGGACUGUAGUAUUUCCAGAUCAAUCCUUAGGUCACUGGUUCGAAUCCGGUAGGUCGGA